This is a non-coding RNA of Mycena leptocephala, 91 nucleotides long. Lineage: Eukaryota; Fungi; Basidiomycota; Agaricomycetes; Agaricales; Mycenaceae. The record is from the annotation of a GenBank genome assembly.
UCCGGUAUGGUGUAACGGUCAACAUUGGUGCUUUUCAUGGUCUCUAGUAAUGCGCUCGCACUAGCUCGGGGUUCGACUCCCCGUACCGGAA